UCGCAGAGUAGCUGUUGACAUUAUAGUUGCGCAGGCACUUUGUUGACUGUAGAGAACCUCGGGCCAAUCGCACAUCCCCAUAAUGGCGACUUUGCAUUCGGAUGUCAUCAAUUUCAACUUUUGAUGCCAGUUUCUGCGCCUAUCAUGGUGACCAUGGGUAACGGGGAGUCAGGGUUCCAUUCCGUACAGGGACCCUGAGAAAUGGCUACCACAUACAAGGAAGGCAGCAGGCAUGCAAAUGACCCACUUCCGACGCGGGAAGGUAGUGAAGA
RNAcentral lists this ribosomal RNA (272 nucleotides) under Pelobates cultripes (western spadefoot toad). Its description in RNAcentral is "SSU_rRNA_microsporidia". It matches the Rfam family "Eukaryotic small subunit ribosomal RNA", at positions 212 to 473 of the family's 1831-position model. Lineage: Eukaryota; Metazoa; Chordata; Amphibia; Anura; Pelobatidae. The record is from RNAcentral.